RNAcentral lists this small nuclear RNA (22 nucleotides) under Arabidopsis thaliana (thale cress). RNAcentral describes it as "snRNA_08897". The record is from RNAcentral. Lineage: Eukaryota; Viridiplantae; Streptophyta; Magnoliopsida; Brassicales; Brassicaceae.
UCAUCUGAACAGAAUGACCAAA